RNAcentral lists this unclassified non-coding RNA (87 nucleotides) under Pseudomonas azotoformans. Lineage: Bacteria; Pseudomonadati; Pseudomonadota; Gammaproteobacteria; Pseudomonadales; Pseudomonadaceae. The record is from RNAcentral.
GUGGGAGGGGGCUUGCCCCCGAUGGCGGUGUGUCAGUCACUAAUAUGUCGACUGAUUCACUGCAAUCGGGGGCAAGCCCCCUCCCAC